RNAcentral lists this ribosomal RNA (301 nucleotides) under uncultured bacterium. Its description in RNAcentral is "partial 16S ribosomal RNA". It matches the Rfam family "Bacterial small subunit ribosomal RNA", at positions 512 to 808 of the family's 1533-position model. The record is from RNAcentral.
CAGCAGCCAGGUAAUACGAAGGGGGCUAGCGUUGUUCGGAUUUACUGGGCGUAAAGCGCACGUAGGCGGAUUCUUAAGUCAGAGGUGAAAUCCCAAGGCUCAACCUUGGAACUGCCUUUGAUACUGGGGAUCUUGAGUUCGGGAGAGGUGAGUGGAACUGCGAGUGUAGAGGUGAAAUUCGUAGAUAUUCGCAAGAACACCAGUGGCGAAGGCGGCUCACUGGCCCGAUACUGACGCUGAGGUGCGAAAGCGUGGGGAGCAAACAGGAUUAGAUACCCCUGUAGUCCCUGUCUCUUAUACC